Long non-coding RNA from Populus euphratica (Euphrates poplar), 695 nucleotides. RefSeq lists it as uncharacterized. NCBI's taxonomy places the organism in Eukaryota, Viridiplantae, Streptophyta, Magnoliopsida, Malpighiales, Salicaceae. The record is from RefSeq and is a predicted model, not a curated record. The transcript is spliced from 2 exons.
GAGGCAAAAUCUACAUGGUCAUAAUUGACCCGCAUUUCCUCGCGGGACAUACUAAAAUACCCUCCUUCCCUUUUAUUAAAGAUAUAAUGCUUCGGAAAACAUGAGCAUAAUCAUCUUCAUACGAUUAACAACCAUUUAUAAGACUGCCAUGACACUUUUCUCAAAUAUAUUCAGAUGCUUUGGUGAUGUGUCUAAAAGCCAGAGAAGCGUAUGCAAAGGGGGUGUUUGUGUUCUUAAAGAGCAGAGCAAACUAGGCAAUACAAGAUCCGAGACAAAGCGAAAGCGAAGAAAUCAGCACUCAUGUUUUUUGAUUUUUCAUUGAGAAUGUAUCCAGGUUUGUAGUUAUUAGCGUUAAGAAGUAACUUGGAUCAAAGAAUUAUGCUACUUAAUUUUCUCUUAAUACAAUCUCAAUAAUUGUGAAGUAGUGGCCUCUGCAUGUUGUUCGUCGAGCAAAGUUCUUGAAUACAAUGUGUGGGAUAUUUGAAUUGAUGGGAUUUAUCAUGUGCUCUCCAAUUUUAUUUGUUUUCGUUAUUUAGAUCUUGAUUCAUGUAUCAAUAAAUCCAAGCGGUUUUGUACCUGUUUUUCUUAAGAGCAUGAGAAGAGCCUCUUGGCUUUGCAACUUUUGAGAGGGUUUUACAUGGAUCCACACUCAACCAUGCCAUACUCAAGUAUAUCAAAAUGUUGUUUUUUUUUUU